Long non-coding RNA from Haliotis rubra (blacklip abalone), 387 nucleotides. RefSeq lists it as uncharacterized. The transcript has 5 exons. The record is from RefSeq and is a predicted model, not a curated record. Lineage: Eukaryota; Metazoa; Mollusca; Gastropoda; Lepetellida; Haliotidae.
CCCCCUCUCUAUUUAUAACUCCUGGAACCGUUAUCUUUAACACCUGACUCUUUCUGCUUUUUGUGUGACAGUCGGGAACUUCGUUCAAAGGGUCGAACGUCAAUACUACCGCCGUAAAGGACGGACAGGCCGGGACAGCGAUAGCAUUUGUCAAUGCUAACAUUGGAAGCCUUUCAAUUAACACUGCUCAACAAGGAUCAGUCGUAUCUGGACCCUCCAGACAAGUGCCAGAGAAUCCAGAAAGAAAUGAAUAUAGGAAUGCAGUCCAAGUCACUUUAAGAGGGGACACCCUGAGCACAAUCACAAUUCCGGAGACGAUCCCAGUACACAACGGCAAGGUGUCGAUACGUGGAAACUACGAUGACCAGAAUAUCAAGACGAAAGGUA